UUUCCUUUCAUUUCCGUUUAUCCUCUGGCAUGGUAUGCGGGUUGCGUUCGUUUGUGUCGCAAGAAUGAUUUAUUAUGCGUUAAGCAUUGAGCGCUGAUUCAGUGGCGUAGACCUGCAUAAGGGGGAAAAUCCCUUUACCUCUCGGCUUGGGCCUGUGGAAGUGCAACUGCAUAAAUUAAGUGUGAUCAAGGCAGUAUUGGUGGUUUGUUCACCGUGUGAUCAAGGCAGUGUUGGUGGUUUGUUCACCGUGCUUACCGAGGGUCUGUUAAUUGUGCUGCAGAAUCUGCCCGCUGUUGCUUUGCUGCUGCGGGGCGGCGUGUUACUGUGAUCCGUGGGCUGCGCGCUGGAGAUUGGAGAGUGCGCGCUCCAGUCCCAUUGACUACUUUAAAGACGCAUGUUUAUAUGCGCUGAGCUUCAUGUGAAUGAGUUUUAUGCGAGCGUGAGCCAGGGCGAGUGCGUGUUUGAAUGACUAUAUUGUGUCUGCUGGAGUGACGAUAUUGUGCGUGGUUGGGUGAUUAUAUUGUGUGUGCGGUUGAGUGACUAUAUUAUGUGUGUAUGGUGAGAGUGGUUUUUGAGUAAUCUAUUAUUGUUACUUUUUCAACAUUUAAUGUUAUUUUCUUUCGUUUUGUUUCUUUCUGUUUUGUCAAUUGUAUGGAAUAUUGUGAGUAUUUGUUAUUGAAUAAGUUGUUUUUGGUAUAUUGCCAAACUGUAUUUGUAAUUGUCUUUUUAUUUCAUUUUUGUUUGAUUGUGGGUUGCUUGUCAAUCGUGUUGAGUACUGUGAGCGGUUAUUAGCACUGCUCUUAUCUCUUAUCAAUCCAUUUAU
Non-coding RNA from Paramisgurnus dabryanus, 823 nucleotides. The record is from RefSeq and is a predicted model, not a curated record. NCBI's taxonomy places the organism in Eukaryota, Metazoa, Chordata, Actinopteri, Cypriniformes, Cobitidae.